This 515-nucleotide ribosomal RNA is filed under the name Triticum aestivum (bread wheat). RNAcentral's name for it is "partial small subunit ribosomal RNA". Lineage: Eukaryota; Viridiplantae; Streptophyta; Magnoliopsida; Poales; Poaceae. The record is from RNAcentral.
CCACGAUCCCCACUUUCCCCCCACGUCUCCCUCGUCCUCCCACACCGCCGCCGCCACACAACACACACGCGGGAGAGGAGCUCCCUCAUGCCCAACGCCGCGCCGGCGACCCCCUUUGACCGCCUCGCUGCCCUUCCCUGUCGCCCGGUCAUCUCUUCCUCCGUUUGCCUCAGCAGCUCGUCGCGCCCCUCUUCCACCUUCCUCGGCUGGGCGCAGCCACCACCUCGCCGCAGCCAUGGCCAACGGCCUUCCCGAGCUGCGUCGUGCUGCCCUACGGCUUCCUCGACGUCGUCCACAACCUCCACGUGCCCGAGACCGACUGGAGCGGCCCAAGUCAACAACAUCGACUGGUUCCCCAUCGCGGCCACCAGAGCUCCUACACGUCGGUCCCCUCGACUCUGAACUCCUCGCGUCACCUCGAGCACGACAACACCCUCGAUACUACGAGACUGACGUCGCUGCUGCCCUGAUCGACUACGGUGUUGACGACCCCUCCUUCUUGUCUGAUCAACCAG